AAUUAGUAGAAAAAAGGGAUGAAGGCAUUUAAGUUAGAGUGCUAAGUAGGAACUGGACAAGAUUAUGCAAGAAGGAGACUUGGGGAUAACAAAAGGGGUGUUUGGGAUUAUAAAUAGAUGGGUUAAAUUAAAUUUAUAGAAGCUGAACGUAAUUCUGAAACAAAAAUAAAAGAGGCUCCAAGGGUAUAAAAGAGUACUUAGGAAACCUAUUGGAUGAGUUAGGAAUCCCAGUGAAAGGAUAACAAACUUUUGUUUUAUGGAGACAAAGUUAACAAAGAAAUUAAGUGAGCACUGGGUUGUACCACCACAUUUAGUUGUAAUAUGUUUUUUUUUUUGCUAUAAUCUUUUAGUAUGAUGUGCAUAUUCUACUUACUGGGCAAUGUAGCUCAUUAUGUUGUAAAUUUCAUAGCAGGUAUAAUGGGAAACAAGAACUGGAAAAUCAAGAAUCAUGCCGCCAAACUUAAGCACUUGCAGGGAGCUUCCUCGUCAUUACCUAAGUCGAAUAAUUUAGAGUUAGUUGUAGGAUAUGAUCGAUAUUAUUGUGUGUAGGAGGAAAUACUUGUACUUUCGAUCUUUGUUUUAGUUAAAAGGUGUAUCCUUUCUUGUGGAGACAACUUGGUAGAGAUGUGAAGCAUGAAUAUAUAUAUAUAUAUAUAUUUAUUUGAUUCAAGAUACAUGAAAUAAUUAUCCUUGGAAUAACAUUUAUGAAUCAGAGUGAUAUUAUUAAUCUCUCCUAUAGAUGAC
RNAcentral lists this long non-coding RNA (744 nucleotides) under Carica papaya (papaya). RNAcentral describes it as "long non-coding RNA (CPAP_LNC009250)". The record is from RNAcentral. Lineage: Eukaryota; Viridiplantae; Streptophyta; Magnoliopsida; Brassicales; Caricaceae.